This 465-nucleotide ribosomal RNA is filed under the name uncultured bacterium. Its description in RNAcentral is "partial 16S ribosomal RNA". It matches the Rfam family "Bacterial small subunit ribosomal RNA", at positions 338 to 795 of the family's 1533-position model. The record is from RNAcentral.
CCUACGGGUGGCAGCAGUGGGGAAUAUUGCGCAAUGGGCGAAAGCCUGACGCAGCGACGCCGCGUGAGGGAUGAAGGUCUUCGGAUCGUAAACCUCUGUCAGCAGGGAAGAACGGUCACUGUGCUAAUCAGCAUCGAAUUGACGGUACCUGCAAAGGAAGCACCGGCUAACUCCGUGCCAGGAGCCGCAGUAAUACGGAGGGUGCGAGCGUUAAUCGGAAUUACUGGGCGUAAAGCGCUAGUACGCGGGAUGUCAAGGCAAGGGGGAAAUCCCCGCGCUCAACGCGGGAACGGCCGUUGAAACUGGCAAACUGGAGUGUGUGAGAGGGUGGUGGAAUUCCAGGGGGAGGAGUGAAAUCCGUAGAUAACUGGAGGAACAUCAGUGGGGAAGGCGACUAUCUGGCACAUAACUGACGCUGAGGAGCGAAAGCGUGGGUAGCAAACAGGAUUAGAUACCCUUGUAGUC